Non-coding RNA from Ictidomys tridecemlineatus (thirteen-lined ground squirrel), 11915 nucleotides. NCBI's taxonomy places the organism in Eukaryota, Metazoa, Chordata, Mammalia, Rodentia, Sciuridae. The record is from RefSeq and is a predicted model, not a curated record.
ACUGAGAUUACAGGUGUGCCCCACGGUGCCCGGCUUAUUUUUUAUUUUGAGACAGGGUCUCUGUGACUUGCUCAGGGCUUAAGUUGCUGAGGUUGGUCUUGAACUUGCAAUCCUCCUGCCUCCCAAUUAACAUAGGUGUGUGCCGGUGCACACAGCUACUGUGUCUCAUUUAUAGUUAAACUUUCUCGCAUGCACAGUAUAUAUUUGUUUUGGUGCGAUGCAAUUUCAUAUACCCACUGGGGGUCUUGCAAUGUACCCCCUAAGGAUAAGGGGGAGCCCUGUAAUUCUCAGAUUGUGUUUGGUCGCAGUUACUUGAGAGUGCCCCCAAUUCUCUGGGGAAUUGUUCUGAAGCACCUGGCGCUUCCUGGUGCCAUAUCUUCUAACCACAGGUGACUAUUUGUAUCUAAGUGAAGUACAUGGGUAACUAGUUAGUCGUGGCUUAGUCACUAGCUAAAAUCCAACCUACUAAUAGUUGGCUUCUCCAUCAUCCUUCCCACAUCUCAGGGGCUCCAUGGCUACGGGUGGCCUCCGUGUGUGACAGCGGCGUUUGUACACGUGACGCUGACUUCUGUUUCAGUGGUCACCCUAAAAGAGUGUGGUCUUGCACCUGAUCACCCUGGCAACGUCUGCAGGUCCCCGGUUUCCUAUUUCCCGUCAGAGCUUUGCGGACUUUGUUUCCUUCACACAUUCCUCUUUUCUCCCCACCCUCAUCCUCACUGUGACGUAAAAUCUGGGUGAUGAGGCACUUCCCACGUUGCAAAUCCAUUGCAACUGGGUGUCGAGGGUUGGUUUACUGUGCGUGUGCAAACUACCCACUAGCCCGGGCGCAGGCUGUUUUAAGGAAGGCUUGGCUCCCCUCUGUGGCCAGGGGUUGAGUGAGGUCAGCGCCAGGCUGGGCCACUCCUGUCCGGGCACCUGCUGCCCCAGAUCUCCAGGCAGCUGGAAACGGGGGAGCCUAAGAACGCACGGAGGACCCAACAACAGACUCAGGCUUAGGACGGUAUUUUUUAUUUUUGCCUGUUUUUGGAAAACAUUCGGACACCUUGUGCCUCAAAAUGAUUUUCUGGAUUCACAAAAAAUCCCAACUCCGACGGUUUUCCUUCUUCCUUCUCAGAGGUGGAAUUUGUUCCCGUUUGGGUCAGCAAGAAGUGAGAGCAAAGUCCCCGGGGGCGUCUCCUGGUGUCACACAGAUUUGGAUGGUGGUUCCCUCUUCGUCCCAAAAUACGCGUUGGGGGUUUACCACUUGAUCAGCGCUGAAUAUGCUCCUGGGGUUUAGGGCACGACUUGUCUAGCACCGGUCCUCGUGGCUGUUAUGAUCUAGACAGCAAGGCUAGUGUGGUAAGCGUCAGGAACUGUGAACAGGCCAAGUGCACGCCUGUCAUCCCAGCAGCUCGGGAGGCUGAGGCAGGAGGAUCGCGAGUUCAAAGCCAGCCUCAGCCAAAGUGGGGCGCUGAGCAACUCAGACCCUGUCUCUCAAUAAAAUACAAAACUGGGCUGGGGAUGGGUCUCCGUGUUCGAGGGCUCCCGAGUUCAAUCCCCAGUACCCCUCCUCCCCCGCAAAAGAACCAUGAAUAGGUACAAAAAUGUGAUGUAAUUGGCCAAGACUGCGCGGGCUGUUAGGGGAAACCACACACUGAGGAGGCCGAAACGUUCAGAUUUUGCCCAAAAGGCCACAGAGAAAGGAGCGCGGUGAAAGCAAAGGUCGCGGGCUUUGGGGUCGGGACCUCUGGGUUCAAAUUCCUGGUGCAUUGCUUAUGUGCGGCCGCAGAACAAACCGUCAGCUCUCAGUUUAAAACAAUCAACAGCAUUAUCAAUGUUUCUGGGCGUAAGAAUUUAGCUGGGGGUUCUGAUCCAGGACUUCUUGUGGGACUGCAGAGAGAAGCUUUAGCUGGGGUGGGUGGAUCUGCUUCCAAGAUGAGUCACCAGGGUGGCUUUGGGUGGAAACCCUCCUUUUUGGUCAUUUGGUCAUUUAAUCUUUUUCUUUGCCUUUGUUCCCAAAGGUCAGUGUCAAGAAGGUGGAGAAAAGUUGGCUGAGGAAAGAUAUGUGAUUGCAACAGAGACCGUUUCUUGGUUCCUCUGAGCAAUCCUAAUCAAGCCAGCGCUCACAUCUCCAUAACUGACGGCUCUGCCACAGGCUUCAAGUUGGAAGGAAAUGAGGUCCAGCACUGCCUUUUCCAGAAUGCAUUCAUUGUUGGGUGUUUCUGGAAUUAUUGAGCGGGCCCGGGGCUGUCAGAAUCAUUUAGGUGGCUGGUUCAUGUUGCACAACUGUGUGAAUGAACAAUGAGCAACUGAAAUCCACGUGGGUCUGUCGGUUUGAAAUGACUGCCAUGAUGAUCUUUUUCUUUUUUUUGUUGGUGCUGGGGAUUGAACCCAGGGCCUUGUGCAUUGAGGCAAGCACUCUGCCAACUGAGCUACGUCCUCAGGCCUGAAAUGACUGGCUGAAUGCUCUUUAUUGAUGCUUUAGCUUUAAUGUUUCAAACGAUGCUACAUUACAGUUUUGGACGUUGGACAAGAUAUCUCAAAAACAAACCAAACCCAACAAUAAAUGGAGGUCAUCAUCUACCAUAAUCCCGUGUCGUAGUUAAACGUUAUCCAGUGAUGACUCCCCAGUCAAUAAUAUUUCAAGGAAACGGCAUUUACUCAGGAUGAUGUUUUCAGUACUAUCACGAAUGGGAUUGCUGUUAUUCUCCUAAGGAGCUUGAUCUUGGCAAGCAUUUACAGGAUUCAUUAUAAUGAAUCAUAAAAAAUACUUUUUAAAAAAUAAAUCUUCCUAAUAACGAAUUAUCCAGUCCUUAGCACAAAGGAAACUGAAUUUAUUGUUUGCACGUUCAGAGUUUCAUGUAUUUCCAGCAGACAGAUCACAGGGGCAGGCUGAAUUCAUUUUUCGAUGUACGAAUUGCUACCUUUUCUCCAGUUCUGUAGUUUCCUAUAAGGUCCAUAGAUCAGUGAUGCUUUAGAAGCUGGUUCUGAGUUUGAAUUGGCCUCUCUGUUGCCUCUUGUCUUAAAACUGAUCAAGAACAUGGACAGUUUAAUGCAUGUUCUAAUACACACCAGUUCAGAGCCACAGUGAAAUCUGUUCUCAUGGGCUACUUGACAUCAAUCCAUCCAUCUCCAUGCUUGACGGAACAUUUCCUAAGAGGCUAUGGAUUUGGAAGGUCGGCUUUGGACAGGGGUGGCGGCGCUGUGGUUGGAGAACAUUCAGGCUGAAUAAAGGACCAUUAAACUGACGUUUUAUAUUUUGGGUAAUUACCCAGAAUACAGAGGCAGUUUUCCGCGCUUGAGAAACUUCCUGCUAUGGUGGGAGCAUCGUCUUGAUUUUUGUUUUAAAAUUUAUUGUGCCCGACAGGCUGAGUUCUCUUGGGAGGCCUUCGGAAUACCGGGUUUGCUUCCUGAGCUGAGGUUUUCUACCUCUCUGUGAGCUCCCCUUCAUCUGAUUCUCUGAAGAUAACUUGAUACAUCCAAGAUCUUCUUGUUCACGUGUAGCUUUUAAUAUUUAGCCCAUUACAUGCAGAGGAUAAUGAAAAAGUCUUGUGUUAAUCUGUUUCCAAGACAAAUAUUUGAUGGAACAGGUGGGAUUUUAUUUCAAUAUUUCCCUCAAACUCGAUUAAACUAUUAAGCUUUGUUUUGUAGGGGGAAAAAAACGAGCUUAUGUUCUACCCUGUCUCAGUCUGAUUCUUAGUUUUUGUCAAUUAAACAAUAUGUCACAAUUUCGUAAUUCGCACGGGUUGUCGGCAAUCACAUCUAGACAGUGAUUGGAAAUUCAGAAAGGCAGAGGAAAUAUCUUUACUCCCUUUAUCAGAAUUUUCAGCCAGGAAAAGGAACUUUACAGAAGGAGAUACAUUGUCUCUGAGAAGCAAAAUUUAAUUGAUGUGUGAAAAACACUCAUGUCCAAAAAACAAAAAAAAAUAUGGUUGGCUGCUUUAAAGACUUGAGUUAAAAAAAAUUGUGUCUGAUCUACUGAAUCAUCUGAUUGAAGGGGUGAAAACCUUGGCAAACUUUUUUCCUGAUCAAAGGUCUUGCCAUUUUGCCCAGGCUGGUCUCAAACUCUUAGGCUCAAGUGAUCCUCCUGCCUCAGCCUCCCCAUCAGCUGGCACAUCAGGGACAUGCCACAUGCCCAGCGCAUUCUUGCACUUGGAAGGAGACGUUGCCCCCCAUGUCUGACCACAGGUUGUGCAUGCUUACGGACCUGGGCACCCGUGAGGGCAAUGCACACGACCUCAACAUUAAGUACAAGAGGCCAUGUUUCUGCCGUGGUUCGGUAAUGAGCCUACUCCCAGGAAAGACGAUCUGCACAUUCCGAUUUGGCAAGCUUGUUACAAGGCAAGCUUGUUGAUUUUCCUUCCUUACCUGAAACUGGCUCUCCUCAGCCGUCGGAUUUAAAACCCUGAGCGAUGGGUUUGCUUUCCACCUUGAAGAUUUUGUUGGGAAAAAACAACUUUAGGAAACAAAAGGAAAAAAAAAAAAAAAGAAAUCCAAGAAAGAAACCGUCACAAAAACCCAAACAGACACAACAACCCGCUUUAACACAGUCAUAAAACCUACCACGAGAUAAGGUGGGGACACUUCUUUAAAAAGAAGGACCUAAUAGUGAUUUGUUUUUAAGGAGUGCCAACGAGAUGUGUAAGGGAGAUGGUACAUUUUUACACUGGGCUCUUGUGAGUCCUGGGCACUGGACUUAUAUUUUUGGCCAGGGCUUAUUUUUGUCUUGGUUCUCCCCUUUUCUAAAUCUGGUGGAAUUGUUUUCUCGGGACCUCAGAUUGUUGGCUUGAGUUGCAACCAGACAGACUGGAGCAUUUUUUUUUUUUUCCAGUAUCCUUUUCUUCUUGUUUCUCAUCUUUUAUUUCUCAAAAUACAUGUGCUUUUUAUAGCUAUGGGAGCGAUUUUCAAAUCAGGCUGCCUGAAAAUAGUUUGAAUUAGAAUAUAUUAGGGGGGAAAUCACCAUCUACCACCCAGCACACCAUGUUGCGUUUUAUUAAAAGCAGUCUUUUGGAGGCUGCAGACAGGGGAGAAAAGAAGUGGAAAAUGUUCCCUCUCAGCUUUGAUCGAAGCCACGGUUUUUGUUUAUAGGAAUCAUCUUGACUGUCCGAUGGACCCGUUGAUUGGAAAUGUCUUGAACCACGUCUGGUUUCUCUUCUGCUCUCUCUGUUCACAUUUCUCUGCACACCUCUUCCCGAGGGCUGUAGAUGUUCCCAUGUUCCCAGCCCGGGGCAUUAGCUUUGUAAGGUCCCCAACAGCUGGUCCCUGUGGGUGCCCUUCUCCUGCCCUCACCCACUGACCCUUCCUGGCCUGCCACUCUUUAUGUUUUUAAUCUGUGCUUACGGUGCCACGUUAGACUCCUCGUUUGUAAGAGCGUCUCCUUAUUUCCAUGAGAUCAUUCCUUAGAGUAACACCCUGCUUGUAUCUUAUUACCCCAAAGUUUAUCCUUUUCCAUUUCAAUUAGAGCACACACCCCUCUAAGUUGGUGCUGAUGAUUCUUCAAACACUUGGCACCUUAGAACACGCGCCGUGCAUGUUCAUAGUGCCCUACAAUUGCUCCCCUGCACAUUUGUCCAAAGGAAAUGGAAUUCAUGUCCGCAGAAAGACACACCAUGUGAAUGACCUUCACAGAUUGACUCACCAGAGUCCCAAACUGGAAACAGUUCCUGGUGUCCUCCUAGACGAACUAUAGUAGAUUCAAACUGUGGAAUAUUAUUUGGUAAUGAAAAGGAACUAAGGAUUGUUACAGGCAAUAACUUGGAUGUCUCUCAAGGAAAGGUGCUGAGUGAAAAAGCUGAUCAAUCAUCAACCGAGGGCCACUCCCAAGACAGAAUCAUCCCCCUGCACUGACCGCUGGUUGCUUGAAAGAGCAGAGCAGAAGCUGGUCUCUAUAAAACCCCUGAGUUGUGGGUGCCUGCAAUCAGAAGGUACAGAUUGGCCCAAGUGCACAUUUACACACCAAGGGAUAUGGACGAAUGUACCCUGGGCUAACCGCCUGAGGUCCACUUGAAGAAACCUACGUAGAACAAAGAGAAAAAGAGAAAGGAUACAGAAAAAGAGGAGAUUAGCAGACCAUUCUGGGGGUCCCAUGGCUAAAUAAGAGAGAUUCCAGAAGGAGACAAGAGUAAAAAAUAAAAAUGAUGAGUAAACAGUUUUUUAAAAAUUGAGGUUGCCAUUGCUGGUUCUGCUGGGAUGGUGGUGGCAGCUCAGUGCUGAACGGUCUUCUCGCAGGAGAUAUGCAGGAAAAACACAUUGCCAGGGGCCCUGGGGGCAGAAAAUGCACAACCCCCAAACUGAAAGCCCAGCUGCUGACGUUGGAACCGUACAGGGGAAGCCUGGGCCGGAAGCUGCAGCAGUUCUACCUAAUAAGGGUCCAGGCUCGCAGCUAGAAGGCCUUGGGGAAUGUCACCGGGGUUGGUCUGUGUAGAGGCGGUGUUUGAUGUCGCUGGGAAGAGAAUUUUACCAAAAAGAGAAAAGGUUGCUCCGUAUGGUGGGGCACACCUGUAAGCCCAGCACCUUGGGAUCUGAGGCAGGAGGAUUGCAUGUUUGAGGCAAGCCUGCUCAGCUUAGUGAGAUGCUGUAUUAAAAAAAAAAAAAAUUAAAAAGGGUUGGAAAUGUAGCUCAAUAGAAGAGCACCCCUGGGUUCAGUCCUCAAGAGAUGGCGAAGGACAGAGAGGCUCUGGGCGUGUCCAGCAGGUGUGUCCAGGAGUGACUGGCCUGGGGCAUAGCCAGCUAAAGUGCACAGCCUCCCUAAGUGUGGGCAGCACUGCCCAGUAGGUUGCGACUGGCCCAUUCCCAGUGCUAAUGGCUUCUUGUGGCCGGCGGCUUCCUAAUGGGGCGACAGCUUCAGGACAGCUCCGAAGCCCUAAGAGUUCUCAGCCACCCCACAUCUGAGGAUGUGCUUCUUGGUGAGAAGAGCAAGAAUAAAGAGCUGGCGCUGAUUUUGAAUUCCUGGAAGUGCAGGAGAUGGGGCCAACAACCAGCUGCAGGCUGUCUCUUGUCCAUGGAGGCCGUUAUUAAAAUCACAACCCCUGUCCAAGGAAUGCAAAUCAGGGAUACAAGGAAGUGGUAAGUUUUGCAUUUAAAAUAUUUGUGCUCUGAAGACAAAGGUGACCAAGGCACUUUUGGCCUGAUGCUUCCAGUGCGUUUGAAUUAUGAUGCUAAUAUUGCAGUGUGACUCACGGUUCCUCUCUCAACCCCAGUUCCUCUCUCAACCCUGGCUGCAAAGAAGCAGCAUGUGGGUUGCUAUACACACACACACACACACACACACACACACUCUUGGGGAAGCCAACUCUCAAACAUGGAGCAACAAGCAUGAGGAUCAAGGUUAAUGGCGUGUGCCUGAUCCCAACGACUUUCUUGCUCAUUUCUCUCCACUGUCUGGGCCUUUCAUGGAGCUAGGAUGAGUCCUGGGACCUUGCUUUGGGCAACUAGACAUAGAUGAAAGUCUGCCAGCGGCCUCUGCUAGAUGAUACUUGCGGACACUCAUCGCCUCCCUCCUAUUCUGCCUCGUACACUGCCACCACCCUGGAGGGACAGGGGCUAGUUUCCAGACAUGAGCGCAAGUAACAGAGAAUAGCAGAAGCACCUGCUGCGGGACCAAGGCAGGCCAGUGCCGUCCGUCUCCAGAUUCUUGUCACAUAAGCAACGAUGACUCUCUAUUCGUUCAGGGCGCACACCCCCCCACUGAUCCUGGGAUGUCCUUAAGGACCCUCUUAUCAGCCCAUACCUUUCUCAACUCCUCUCAGGUGUUAUGUGGCGUUGACUGGCGGCUUGGUCUAAAAGGUAUCCAGAGCCAGAAGCUGAGGCCCAUCAAGGCAGGGGCUUUGGAACGUGUGCUGGUGUUCUUGGCCUCCUGGCCAACACUGGGGAAGGGACAAGGGCAUCUUGGCGCUGUUCUAGUUAGCACUGAGCUCCCACUCCUGUCUUUCCCCUGACUAGCCCACGUGUGCCCUCGACAUGCACUGACCUUCCUUCAUCCACAGCCAACUCCGCUCUCUGUGGGUGGGUUGGACACUCUCCUCAGCUACUGCCUGGAAUCUCGCUCCACACUGAGUGGACCAUUUGGAACCACAACACCACGAUCUAUUCCAAGCCUUUCUCUGGCUCCAAAAUUUUUGCUGCUUCAUCCAUGCACAGGAGUGGACCAUCUUUGAUCUUUAAAGGCUCCAUUAUAUUAGAUGAACUCUGGACUUGCCAUGCAUUUUUGGAUGGUGACAUUUGAAUGGGUGGCCUUCUGGUACAAGAUUGGCCAGUCGGUCUGCAAGCCCUCAACCUGGUCUUGGUCUUUCCCGUUUUGGCAAUUCCCAUCAUCCUCUGGGAAACUAUGGAGCAGCCAGUUUCCAAUAUGGCGCCCAAUAAAUUCUCCCUUGUGAGAUGUGUCGUGUCCUUCCACGUUGACGAAGACUAACCGGUGGAAUAUCACCACCAAUAGAAUAUGGUGGUAAGAUGGGGCGUUAUUUUAGAGGCUAGAGCAUGGAACACAUCGCCAUUUCAGUCUUUUUCUUCCUGGUCACCAUCAGUCGGGGUGGCCAGGUGUUUUAACAUGGUGAGUACCAAGACGCCCGUGGAGAGCUCUUUCUAACAGUGCCCAGUCCCCAGUCCCCAGCCAUGUUCACAAGUCAUCUUGGGAGUUGACCAGCCCUGGUCAAGCCAUCCGACAAUGGCAGUCCCCGUGGACAGCUGAACUGCAACCUUUCGGGACACCCUGAGUCCGACUGUCCAUCGAGGCAGCACCCAAAUCGUGACCCCCAGAGCUUUUGGGUACUUAUUAAUUUGGAAAAAUAAGAAAUUAUAUGAGAAUUAAAAAAAAGAGAAAGGCCAAAUGCUAUUUUAAAAUACGAUAGGUCUAAAAAAUGUAGUUGAAGUUUAAAAAUUGAGAUUCUCAAGGGAUGCUCGAGGAGUCAGACCCUCCCUUGCUGAGAUCCUCUGAGGCUCUGAAUGGUACAGUCUGCUGCCCGUUCUGGGGCAGCCUCGGAAGCUGCUAGAAACGGGUACGACGUCUCCUUUGUUUUGUACGGACUUUCAGUACUGGGACGUCUUUGUUUUAUACUUGGGAAGAGAAGGUGCCAGAACCCUGCCCAGGAGCCCAAAUGGAGACCGACACCCAGGUGAGGUGCUUGGCUGAGGAAUGUGGCAUAGCCUGUCCACUGGAUCCAGGCAGGACUGCAGGUCAGUUGCUUUUGGAAGGAGAAAGCAGGAUGCCCGGCACUGGAAAACGAAAUCCACCUUGUUCUUGCCGCAGAUGGGGCUUGGGACACACCCAUCUCUCCUGUCUUCCCUGAAAUGAACCAGUAGGUGGAGCAGAAAGGGGGCCUUAUCAUCGGCUGGAAACGCAUCAUGGAGGAUGGAAGUCGGGCAGCAGGACUGGCCUUCGCAUCAUACUAGGCAGUAUAGAGGAUCUAGAGAUGACUUGAAGUAAAUGAGAAGCUCAGCACACCGCGCAGGGCCUGGGUUCAGUGCCCAGCGCCAGAAGACGGCAACAGCAAGCCUGGGAUGUGGACUCAUGCACGUAACGACUUCUGGCACCUAUUACGCGAAAACAGAAGCUGAGUUUGGUUGCUUUGUUUUGUUUUCGCUUCCUGAAAUAAGAAGCAGAAGAUGACGUCAUCUUCUCAAGUGUCAAAUCGGGUGACUGAUUACAGAGGGGCUGAGCGGUCGGUCACCAUUCAGCAUAAUGCAUCCUGCAAUCAGUCCCCAGAGCCGCCCAGAGGGUCUGUGUUCUAGUGUGGUCUCCAGUGGCAUCCCUUUAUCCCGUGGGCAUGAUGCUGACCGCUGCUCAUUUGCUGAUGAAGACGGAGCCUGCUGUGAGCCAGAAGUUGGAAGCAUUUCAGAGAAAGGACAGUUGAAAAGACCCAUGGUGAAGACUCCAAAGAGACCACACCAAUCAUAACAAGGGACUCCUUAUCUCCAAGGAACUUCUAACCUCGUAGGACCACUCCAGACAGCAAGAGGCAACAAAGAUAAUGGAAGAUUGCCGACAGUGCACUAGGGGCCAGCUCUUCAGUGCUGGGAAGGAGCUUGGGCCAGGGCGCAUGGGACUGCAGGUUGCAUGCCUUGGGAAAAAGAGCUCCAGUUGGAAGCGCUGCAGAUGUUGCUAGGUACGGAAGAAUAGCUAAAUCAGUUUCAAAGACUGAGGGUAUUUAUAAGCUCCAAGAACUUGCUAAAACCUCUUAGUAUCAGAAGAAUUUUGGAAAGGUCCUGACACCCUCAGAUUGUGGGUCAAUGAGGGGAAGCAGAAUUGCAGAUGAGCAAUUGCAGAAGGUGCCUCUCAGAAGUCAGUCUGUGGAAAUGAUUCUGGAGGAUUUGUCUAGAGGAAGCUAAAUGCCAAGUGCAAGGCUUGGACCAAGGCUCAGCGUGGUGGCAGUGCCGGCAGAUUUGGGGUGCAGCGAGCGAGCUCUGUGGGAACUCCAGAAUGAGGACCCACACAGCCAACAGAAGGAGCUGAAUUGGGAAGCCAGAAUUUACGAAAACUUGGUCCAAGUUGGGACAGGUCUCUGCGUGGAGGUUGAGCCUCCUCCUUGUGACCCACCUGGAGCAUGGCGGGUCCAGGCUGGGCUGGCGGGGAAGUGCUUUGCUCAGCCCCGGGGCCAGCAGAGACAUCCUUCUGCACGAGCCCAGACAGAGAUCCAUCUCUGCCUGGUUCUCGCAGUUCCAGCUAAUUACCUCCGCGCCUGUGGAUGUGAGCGUUGGAAACGGCCUCCUGUACAUCUGCCUUAUUAGAAUGCAGCCCGGCUGCCUCCAGACAAAACAUCCUCUAAAUGAGAUUUGCUCUCAAGUAUCUGGUGUGUGGGAGGAGGCCGCAAACCAAGCGGUGGAGCUUUCAAAUGCAUCACGGAAAAAUGCAUAAGGGUAUCCAGCGAGCUCCUGCACUCCACGCGUCUUGUUAUAAUCAGCAGUGUGAAGGAGUCAGCAUUUCUGUCCUGAACUCUCAGAGGUGGGAUGAGCCGUGGAGAUGUUCAUAACAGUGACUUGUUUACUUUGUCAUUUCCCCUCCUGACCCUCUCCUCUCCCUAGCUCUCCAAAAGACAGGCAAUUUGGCUUAUUGCUGGCCUAUUUGAACUCGUGCAAUUCAAACAUGGUAUUUUUUUUUUUUGGUUUUGUUUUUUCAAAACACAGUUUGUCACCCAUCCAGCCUCAUUUGGCAGGAGCCUUUGCUACACAGAAUCCUACCGAGAUUCCAAUACUCGCGUCUGAAGAGGAGUAUCUCUCUACAGGCUGUCAAGAUUUUAUCUUCCCGUACUCUGAAUCCAGCUCUCUAGAAAGCUGGUUAGUAUGUUGGCUUAAACCUCUGGGGAAGCCUCCCCUCCCCUCCCCAGGCAAUGAUGGAAAGAAGAGGGUCCAUCUUUCCUCCAAACUUCUCUGGUCCACACUCCAAAAUUCUACGGAUGCUUCAGUUGGUAUAUCGCACAUGCACUGCCUUCCCGGAGCCAUCGCAUGCCCCCUGGAGCCGUGGAUUUCAUCAAAACCUUCGCUCACAGCUGGGUGUGGUGGUGCAAGCCCGUAAUCACAGCAGCAGCUUGGGAGGCUGAGUCUUAGCUGUCAAUCCCCACCCCCAUGGGUACGCAGAGAUUUCCUGAUGAUAAGCAGCACCGCUCCAAACGCACGGCCUGAACACGGAAAUUCUCAGUGGGACUUCACACGUCAAUCCGGCACGUGUUUAGGGAGCACCUUGGGCCAGGAACUCCCAGGCGCUUCUUGAAGGCAGGAGGGGGAGUAGAUGUAUCAGGGAAUAUAAAACACACAGAACCCCGGCAGGAGCUGCCUGCUGGGAGGGAGACAGAGGAUCCAUGAUCGCAACAGGUAAGUGAAUGCCGCCGACCGUUACAAGUCCGCAAGCCCUGUGUGCAAACACUCUUUAUAGCCAGGUGCAGUGGCGUACCCCUGUAAUCCCAGUAACCCAGGAGGCCGAGGCAGGAGGAUCGCAGAUGAGAUCA